AUAGAGGGCAUCACAACCCUCAUCACAACCCUCCCUGGUGACCAGGCUUCAUAGAGGGCAUCACAACCCUCCCUGGUGACCAGGCUUCAUAGAGGGCAUCACAACCCUCCCUGGUGACCAGGCUUCAUAGAGGGCAUCACAACCCUCCCUGGUGAACAGGCUUCAUAGAGGGCAUCACAACCCUCCCUGGUGACCAGGCUUCAUAGAGGGCAUCACAACCCUCCCCGGUGACCAGGCUUCAUAGAGGGCAUCACAACCCUCAUCACAACCCUCCCUGGUGACCAGGCUUCAUAGAGGGCAUCACAACCCUCAUCACAACCCUCCCUGGUGACCAGGCUUCAUAGAGGGCAUCACAACCCUCCCUGGUGACCAGGCUUCAUAGAGGGCAUCACAACCCUCCCUGGUGACCAGGCUUCAUGAGGGCAUCACAACCCUCAUCACAACCCUCCCUGGUGACCAGGCUUCAUAGAGGGCAUCACAACCCUCCCUGGUGACCAGGCUUCAUAGAGGGCAUCACAACCCUCAUCACAACCCUCCCUAGUGACCAGGCUUCAUAGAGGGCAUCACAACCCUCCCUGGUGACCAGGCUUCAUAGAGGGCAUCACAACCCUCCCUAGUGACCAGGCUUCAUAGAGGGCAUCACAACCCUCAUCACAACCCUCCUUGGUGACCAGGCUUCAUAGAGGGCAUCACAACCCUCCCUGGUGACCAGGCUUCAUAGAGGGCAUCACAACCCUCA
This is a long non-coding RNA of Oncorhynchus tshawytscha (Chinook salmon), 739 nucleotides long. Lineage: Eukaryota; Metazoa; Chordata; Actinopteri; Salmoniformes; Salmonidae. The record is from Ensembl.